ACUGAGACCCCGCUUCCAGGAAAAGCCUCUAAGCUUCAGUUGCAUGAAGACCGUACCGCAAACCGACACAGGUGGGCAGGAUGAAGAUUCUAAGGCGCUUGAGAGAACUCAGGAGAAGGAACUCGGCAAAUUAGCACCGUAACUUCGGGAGAAGGUGCGCCCCGGUAGUGUGUAGCGGCUUGCCCGUGAAGCACGAUGGGGUUGCAGUGAAUUGGUGGCUGCGACUGUUUAAUAAAAACACAGCACUCUGCAAACACGAAAGUGGACGUAUAGGGUGUGACGCCUGCCCGGUGCCGGAAGGUUAAGUGAUGGGGUGCAAGCUCUUGAUCGAAGCCCCGGUAAACGGCGGCCGUAACUAUAACGGUCCUAAGGUAGCGAAAUUCCUUGUCGGGUAAGUUCCGACCUGCACGAAUGGCGUAACGAUGGCCACACUGUCUCCUCCUGAGACUCAGCGAAGUUGAAGUGGUUGUGAAGAUGCAAUCUACCCGCUGCUAGACGGAAAGACCCCAUGCACCUUUACUGUAGCUUUGCAUUGGACUUUGAUGAGACUUGUGUAGGAUAGGUGGGAGGCUUUGAAGGCGGGAUGCUAGUUCCGCUGGAGCCGUCCUUGAAAUACCACCCUGGUGUCAUUGAGGUCCUAACCUAGAUCCAUUAUCUGGAUCGGGGACCGUGCAUGGCAGGCAGUUUGACUGGGGCGGUCUCCUCCCAAAGGGUAACGGAGGAGUUCGAAGGUUCGCUAGGUACGGUCGGACAUCGUACUGAUAGUGCAUUGGCAAAAGCGAGCUUGACUGCGAGACGGACAUGUCGAGCAGGUGCGAAAGCAGGACAAAGUGAUCCGGUGGUUCUGUAUGGAAGGGCCAUCGCUCAACGGAUAAAAGGUACGCUGGGGAUAAUAGGCUGAUGACUCCCAAGAGUUCAUAUCGACGGAGUCGUUUGGCACCUCGAUGUCGGCUCAUCACAUCCUGGGGCUGUAGCCGGUCCCAAGGGUAUGGCUGUUCGCCAUUUAAAGUGGUACGUGAGCUGGGUUUAAAACGUCGUGAGACUGUUUGGUCCCUAUCUGCAGUGGGCGUUGGAGAUUUGACGGGGGCUGCUCCUAGUACGAGAGGACCGGAGUGGACGCACCCCUGGUGUACCGGUUGUGACGCCAGUCGCAUCGCCGGGUAGCUAUGUGCGGAAGAGAUAACCGCUGAAAGCAUCUAAGCGGGAAACUUGCCUGAAGAUGAGAUCUCCCGGAGGCUUGACCUCCCUGAAGGGUCGUGGAAGACCACCACGUUGAUAGGCCGG
RNAcentral lists this ribosomal RNA (1284 nucleotides) under metagenome. RNAcentral's name for it is "bacterial LSU rRNA". It matches the Rfam family "Bacterial large subunit ribosomal RNA", at positions 1593 to 2864 of the family's 2925-position model. The record is from RNAcentral.